Molecule: ribosomal RNA, 253 nt
Filed under: uncultured bacterium
Lineage: Bacteria
Description: partial 16S ribosomal RNA
Rfam family: Bacterial small subunit ribosomal RNA
Source: RNAcentral
UACAGAGGGUGCGAGCGUUAAUCGGAAUUACUGGGCGUAAAGCGCACGUAGGCGGCUUGGUAUGUCGGGUGUGAAAUCCCCGGGCUCAACCUGGGAACUGCAUCCGAAACUGCCUUGCUAGAGUAUGGGAGAGGGAAGUGGAAUUUCCGGUGUAGCGGUGAAAUUCGUAGAUAUCGGGAGGAACACCGGUGGCGAAGGCGGCGACCUGGGUCGAGACUGACGCUGAGGCGCGAAAGCGUGGGGAGCAAACAGG